This 751-nucleotide long non-coding RNA is filed under the name Heterocephalus glaber (naked mole-rat). Its description in RNAcentral is "lncRNA (ENSHGLG00000035040.1)". The record is from RNAcentral. Lineage: Eukaryota; Metazoa; Chordata; Mammalia; Rodentia; Bathyergidae.
UGGGAGGCUGAGGCAGGAGAAUCACAAGUUUACGCUCAUCGUGGCUAACCUAGUGACUUAUGAGACCUUGUCUUAAAAAAAUUUUUAAAGAUCAGUGCAAAGGCCCUGGGUUCAAUCCCCAUUAACCCCCCUCCAAAAAAAAGUAGUGCAGAAUUGGGUAGGUGUUUAUAUAUUUGAAGGCAGUCAGUUCUGACAUGCUGGAAUUUUAACCCCGUGGCAGGAAACCAAGAGCUGGUGUGAGAACACUGCAUCCACAAAGCAACGGCCCAUGCAGUGUCACCUGUGAAUGUUGAAAAUCUGCAGUAUGUGAUGGCACAAAGGAUGAAGAACUUGGAAAAUUGAGUGGGCAUGCUUGGAUGGGUGUGCUGCAUGAGGCCAGGAAACAGUAGAUGAUGAAAAUUAAAGCAACAAGGAAUGCCCUAGUGAGAAAACCAUCACUUAAUUGGUGGAGAAUCAGAAACUCUUGAGCUGGACAUAGUGGUGCACACUGCAAUCCCAACACUUGAGUGGCUGAGGCAGGAGAAUCAAAGUUUGAGCUCAGCCAGAGCAACUUAUAGGAAGAACAAUUGUUGGGAUACCUCAUGGAGAAACCAAAGAUGCAGUACAUUCAAAAACUGUCCUGAAUAGGUGGGAGUGGCCUUAAAUAAUACUUUCUCACAGCAGGUGAUGUUUAAUUGGGGAUACAGAAACCCAGUUAUGAAGGAACACACUGAAUACUCAGGUAUCACAACCAAAUAUCCUUAUUUUUCUC